GUAUUGAAAAUAAUGAAUUAAAAUUUUUACUAGCACAAACUAGGAGCUGUCAAAAUGAAUAAUCAAAAAUUCGCGCUAAAUAUUUUCAAUAGUCAAAUAC
This is a long non-coding RNA of Rhagoletis zephyria (snowberry fruit fly), 100 nucleotides long. RefSeq lists it as uncharacterized. Lineage: Eukaryota; Metazoa; Arthropoda; Insecta; Diptera; Tephritidae. The record is from RefSeq and is a predicted model, not a curated record.